GGGUUGUGAGGUUAAGCGACUAAGCGUACACGGUGGAUGCCCUGGCAGUCAGAGGCGAUGAAGGACGUGCUAAUCUGCGAAAAGCGUCGGUAAGGUGAUAUGAACCGUUAUAACCGGCGAUGUCCGAAUGGGGAAACCCAGUGCAAUUCGUUGCACUAUCGUUAACUGAAUACAUAGGUUAACGAGGCGAACCGGGGGAACUGAAACAUCUAAGUACCCCGAGGAAAAGAAAUCAACCGAGAUUCCCCCAGUAGCGGCGAGCGAACGGGGAGCAGCCCAGAGUCUGAAUCAGCUUGUGUGUUAGUGGAACGGUCUGGAAAGUCCGACGGUACAGGGUGAUAGUCCCGUACACCAAAAUGCACAGGUUGUGAACUCGAAGAGUAGGGCGGGACACGUGGUAUCCUGUCUGAAUAUGGGGGGACCAUCCUCCAAGGCUAAAUACUCCUGACUGACCGAUAGUGAACCAGUACCGUGAGGGAAAGGCGAAAAGAACCCCGGCGAGGGGAGUGAAAAAGAACCUGAAACCGUGUACGUACAAGCAGUGGGAGCACCUUCGGGUGUGACUGCGUACCUUUUGUAUAAUGGGUCAGCGACUUAUAUUCUGUAGCAAGGUUAACCGUAUAGGGGAGCCGCAGGGAAACCGAGUCUUAACUGGGCGUUAAGUUGCAGGGUAUAGACCCGAAACCCGGUGAUCUAGCCAUGGGCAGGUUGAAGGUUGGGUAACACUAACUGGAGGACCGAACCGACUAAUGUUGAAAAAUUAGCGGAUGACUUGUGGCUGGGGGUGAAAGGCCAAUCAAACCGGGAGAUAGCUGGUUCUCCCCGAAAGCUAUUUAGGUAGCGCCUCGUGAACUCAUCUUCGGGGGUAGAGCACUGUUUCGGCUAGGGGGUCAUCCCGACUUACCAACCCGAUGCAAACUACGAAUACCGAAGAAUGUUAUCACGGGAGACACACGGCGGGUGCUAACGUCCGUCGUGAAGAGGGAAACAACCCAGACCGCCAGCUAAGGUCCCAAAGUCAUGGUUAAGUGGGAAACGAUGUGGGAAGGCACAGACAGCCAGGAUGUUGGCUUAGAAGCAGCCAUCAUUUAAAGAAAGCGUAAUAGCUCACUGGUCGAGUCGGCCUGCGCGGAAGAUGUAACGGGGCUAAACCAUGCACCGAAGUUGCGGCAGCGACACUAUGUGUUGUUGGGUAGGGGAGCGUUCUGUAAGCCUGCGAAGGUGACCUGUGAGGGUUGCUGGAGGUAUCAGAAGUGCGAAUGCUGACAUAAGUAACGAUAAAGCGGGUGAAAAGCCCGCUCGCCGGAAGACCAAGGGUUCCUGUCCAACGUUAAUCGGGGCAGGGUGAGUCGACCCCUAAGGCGAGGCCGAAAGGCGUAGUCGAUGGGAAACAGGUUAAUAUUCCUGUACUUGGUGUUACUGCGAAGGGGGGACGGAGAAGGCUAUGUUAGCCGGGCGACGGUUGUCCCGGUUUAAGCAUGUAGGCUGGUUGUCCAGGCAAAUCCGGAUAAUCAAGGCUGAGGUGUGAUGACGAGGCACUACGGUGCUGAAGUAACAAAUGCCCUGCUUCCAGGAAAAGCCUCUAAGCAUCAGGUAACAUUAAAUCGUACCCCAAACCGACACAGGUGGUCAGGUAGAGAAUACCAAGGCGCUUGAGAGAACUCGGGUGAAGGAACUAGGCAAAAUGGUGCCGUAACUUCGGGAGAAGGCACGCUGGUGUGUAGGUGAAGUCCCUGCGGAUGGAGCUGAGACCAGUCGAAGAUACCAGCUGGCUGCAACUGUUUAUUAAAAACACAGCACUGUGCAAACACGAAAGUGGACGUAUACGGUGUGACGCCUGCCCGGUGCCGGAAGGUUAAUUGAUGGGGUUAUCCGUAAGGAGAAGCUCUUGAUCGAAGCCCCGGUAAACGGCGGCCGUAACUAUAACGGUCCUAAGGUAGCGAAAUUCCUUGUCGGGUAAGUUCCGACCUGCACGAAUGGCGUAAUGAUGGCCAGGCUGUCUCCACCCGAGACUCAGUGAAAUUGAACUCGCUGUGAAGAUGCAGUGUACCCGCGGCAAGACGGAAAGACCCCGUGAACCUUUACUAUAGCUUGACACUGAACAUUGAGCCUUGAUGUGUAGGAUAGGUGGGAGGCUUUGAAGCGUGGACGCCAGUCUGCGUGGAGCCAACCUUGAAAUACCACCCUUUAAUGUUUGAUGUUCUAACGUUGGCCCCUUACCGGGGUUGCGGACAGUGUCUGGUGGGUAGUUUGACUGGGGCGGUCUCCUCCCAAAGCGUAACGGAGGAGCACGAAGGUUAGCUAAUCCUGGUCGGACAUCAGGAGGUUAGUGCAAUGGCAUAAGCUAGCUUGACUGCGAGCGUGACGGCGCGAGCAGGUGCGAAAGCAGGUCAUAGUGAUCCGGUGGUUCUGAAUGGAAGGGCCAUCGCUCAACGGAUAAAAGGUACUCCGGGGAUAACAGGCUGAUACCGCCCAAGAGUUCAUAUCGACGGCGGUGUUUGGCACCUCGAUGUCGGCUCAUCACAUCCUGGGGCUGAAGUAGGUCCCAAGGGUAUGGCUGUUCGCCAUUUAAAGUGGUACGCGAGCUGGGUUUAGAACGUCGUGAGACAGUUCGGUCCCUAUCUGCCGUGGGCGCUGGAGAAUUGAGGGGGGCUGCUCCUAGUACGAGAGGACCGGAGUGGACGCAUCACUGGUGUUCGGGUUGUCAUGCCAAUGGCACUGCCCGGUAGCUAAAUGCGGAAGAGAUAAGUGCUGAAAGCAUCUAAGCACGAAACUUGCCCCGAGAUGAGUUCUCCCUGAGACUUUAAGUCUCCUGAAGGAACGUUGAAGACGACGACGUUGAUAGGCCGGGUGUGUAAGCGCAGCGAUGCGUUGAGCUAACCGGUACUAAUGAACCGUGAGGCUUAACCUUACAACGCCGAAG
This 2923-nucleotide ribosomal RNA is filed under the name Klebsiella pneumoniae. RNAcentral's name for it is "23S ribosomal RNA". It matches the Rfam family "Bacterial large subunit ribosomal RNA". Lineage: Bacteria; Pseudomonadati; Pseudomonadota; Gammaproteobacteria; Enterobacterales; Enterobacteriaceae. The record is from RNAcentral.